RNAcentral lists this ribosomal RNA (401 nucleotides) under uncultured bacterium. RNAcentral's name for it is "partial 16S ribosomal RNA". It matches the Rfam family "Bacterial small subunit ribosomal RNA", at positions 359 to 776 of the family's 1533-position model. The record is from RNAcentral.
UAUAUUGCACAAUGGGCGAAAGCCUGAGUCACCAACGCCGAGUGAGCGAAGAAGGCCCUUGGGUCGUAAAGCUCCGUCCCACGGGAUGAAAAAAACGACGAUACCCUUGGAGGAAGCCCCGGCUAACUAAGUUCCAGCCGCCGCGGUAUCACGAAGGGGGCAAGCGUUAUCCGGAAUUAUUGGGCGUAAAGAGUGCGAAGGUGGUUUUGUACGCGCGAGAUGAAAGGCAAUAGCUCAACUAUUGUAAGCCUUGCGAACUGUGAGACUUGAGUGAAGGAGAGGAAAGUGGAAUUCCUAGUGUAGCGGUGAAAUGCGUAGAUAUUAGGAGGAACACCAGUGGCGAAGGCGGCUUACUGGACUGUAACUGAAACUGAGGCUCGAAAGCGUGGGGAGCAAACAGG